ACGUUUAGACUAAUACAUUUAAUGUUUGCAAUGUACCCGCCCCGCAACACGCGCGGGUGUUAUUCCUAGUUAUUAUUAAAUUAAAACUUAAGUGUAUAUUAUAUACUAUCUUAAAAGAGAAAGUCGGUGGCUAUUCCACCGACCCCUCUUCAAUUUCUCCUCUCAAGACCCUUCUUCUAUUUUUCCUUCUAAGCUAUCACUACCAACAAUCGGAAUUCCAGAACACAAGAUUGACGAAAUCAAAAUGCAUAUGAACUCAUUCUCAAUCCAUAAAAAGGAAAAAAUAAGAAGCCGGACCUCCACGGUGGUUCACCGUCAAGGCAGACGGCGACGAUGGCGACGCCAUCGUUUCUGGAGGCGGAUGCGGCGGCUCCGAUGGGUUCCGUUUUUACAACCAUGAUCUCCGGCGAACCGCUAUGAUUUUUUAAUCGAAGAUUGAUGACUCUUAGGCCACCCUCGACAGAGAAAUUGAAGCUCUGCACACCAGGUGUUCGCUUAAAUGCUCAUUUCAGAUUUACAUUUGAAUUUGAGGAGGGCUACAUCAUUCUUGAGUGAUAAAAGAUACAUAAUCAGUUGAAGAAGCCUCCCUUUCUUUGUAGGCGGAGGUGAGUAUGUCCUAUUACCAAGUUAUUAUUCUUUAUUCUAAUUGUGUGAGUUAUAUUUCCUCUUAUUCUUUUUAUUUUCCAACGAGAGUUAAAGUUUUGUGCCCUUUGAAGAUUGGGGAUAAGAAACCAGAUGAUAUAAGGACGAAUAAAGAUUGGUAGUCGAGUUGGAUAACAGGUCAAAACUGGCUUUGGUUUGAAACGAGACAUUGCAAUAUUAUGGUAUGCUUAUUAUGAUUUAAUAUAAAAUAGCCUUUGGGUUGAAGCGAUUCAAAUUUAUGACGUCCCUAAAAAAGGGUGUGCAUGUUCCCAACCCAGCUUUCAUGUACUGUGUAAACACUACUAUAGAAGAAGAAAGUGACGAUGCAAAAGUUGUUUUCUUCAACGAAGCGUUGGAACAAAUGCUGGAAAAAAGUUGGGGGGGGGGGGGUGAACAAAGUUGGGGUACUACCCGUCCUAGCAACCCGGAUCCUAAAACAACUACCAAAAGAAGAAGACCAGAUUCGCCAGUGAAACAACGGGAAAGCAAGCAAGGAAGUAAAAGGAUAAUGCGGAAGGUAACGUUUUUGACAAGCCAGAAAAACCCAAAUCCAUGUUGAUUUUCUAGGGGAAAAAAGCCAACAGGAAAGGCUUUGCCUCCAUAUGCAACAACACAACGUCAACGUUUGAAGUAACGGAAGACAUUUUGGCUCCAGCGACAACAUGACAAAACUGGGAAGGUAACUAGCAAGGACACCGACUUUUGAAGAAAAAAAACUUAACAAAAAACUAUUUAUUACUCUUAUCAAAGUUGUAGUAUGAAUCCUCCUUAUUGUAACCCGACCUCUAUAUGUAGUUGAAUGUUAGUGUAAUCGAUUAUCACCUAUUAGAUUACCCAA
This is a long non-coding RNA of Helianthus annuus (common sunflower), 1480 nucleotides long. RefSeq lists it as uncharacterized. NCBI's taxonomy places the organism in Eukaryota, Viridiplantae, Streptophyta, Magnoliopsida, Asterales, Asteraceae. The transcript has 6 exons. The record is from RefSeq and is a predicted model, not a curated record.